This is a small nucleolar RNA of Artibeus jamaicensis (Jamaican fruit-eating bat), 195 nucleotides long. RefSeq annotates it as small nucleolar RNA SNORA73 family. The transcript has a single exon. Lineage: Eukaryota; Metazoa; Chordata; Mammalia; Chiroptera; Phyllostomidae. The record is from RefSeq and is a predicted model, not a curated record.
CCUUGAAAAACCUCAGUCACUCCCGGGCUCUGUCCAGGUGGCAUCGGGGAGCCCAGGGCUCUGCCCGGUGAUGCACGGCCCCUUUCCACAACCUUGGAGAGAAAGUCAGGCCUCGAGUCUGUGCCUGCGUCUCCCUACGGCUUCUCAGAGUCCUCUGGACAGGGACCGAGGAGACAAACCGUGCAGGAAACAUCU